This 1420-nucleotide ribosomal RNA is filed under the name Corynebacterium diphtheriae. RNAcentral describes it as "bacterial LSU rRNA". It matches the Rfam family "Bacterial large subunit ribosomal RNA", at positions 63 to 1537 of the family's 2925-position model. The record is from RNAcentral. Lineage: Bacteria; Bacillati; Actinomycetota; Actinomycetes; Mycobacteriales; Corynebacteriaceae.
AGCCUGCGAAAAGCUCCGGGGAGGCGGCAAAUAUCCUGUGAUCCGGAGAUGUCUGAAUGGGGAAACCCACCGGCUAUAAGGUCGGUAUCAUAAACUGAAUACAUAGGUUUAUGAGGCGAACGCGGAGAAGUGAAACAUCUCAGUAUCCGUAGGAAAAGAAAUCAAUUGAGAUUCCCUCAGUAGCGGCGAGCGAAAGGGGAACAGCCCAUUAAGUCAUAUCAGUUUUAGUGGAAUGCUCUGGGAAGUGCAACCAUAGUGGGUGAUAGUCCUGUACACGAAAGGGCUGAUAUGAUGAUGUCGAGUAGGGCGAGGCACGUGAAACCUUGUCUGAAUAUAGGGGGACCAUCCUCUAAGGCUAAAUACUCCUGACUGACCGAUAGUGAACCAGUACCGUGAGGGAAAGGCGAAAAGAACCCCUGUGAGGGGAGUGAAAUAGAUCCUGAAACCGCAUGCAUACAAGCAGUGGGAGCCACUUUGUGUGGUGACUGCGUACCUUUUGUAUAAUGGGUCAGCGACUUAUAUUCAGUAGCGAGGUUAACCGAAUAGGGGAGCCGUAGAGAAAUCGAGUCUUAAUAGGGCGUAUAGUUGCUGGGUAUAGACCCGAAACCGGGUGAUCUAUCCAUGAGCAGGUUGAAGGUUGGGUAACACUAACUGGAGGACCGAACCCACUGUCGUUGAAAAGCCAGGGGAUGACUUGUGGAUAGGGGUGAAAGGCUAAUCAAACUCGGUGAUAGCUGGUUCUCCCCGAAAGCUAUUUAGGUAGCGCCUCGGACGAAUACCAUUGGGGGUAGAGCACUGUUUCGGCUAGGGGGGUCAUCCCGACUUACCAAACCGAUGCAAACUCCGAAUACCAAUGAGUACUAUCCGGGAGACAGACUGCGGGUGCUAACGUCCGUAGUCAAGAGGAAAACAAUCCAGACCGCCAGCUAAGGUCCCUAAAUCAUAGUUAAGUGGGAAACGAUGUGGGAAGGCAUAGACAGCUAGGAGGUUGGCUUAGAAGCAGCCACCCUUUAAAGAAAGCGUAAUAGCUCACUAGUCGAGUCGGCCUGCGCGGAAGAUGUAACGGGGCUAAAACUAUGUACCGAAGCUGCGGAUUUGCAAUUUAUUGCAAGUGGUAGGGGAGCGUUCUGUAAGCCGAUGAAGGUGGAUUGAGAAGUCUGCUGGAGGUAUCAGAAGUGCGAAUGCUGACGUGAGUAACGACAAAACGGGUGAAAAACCCGUUCGCUGAAAGACCAAGGGUUCCAGUCCAACGUUAAUCGGGGCUGGUGAGUCGACCCCUAAGGCGAGGCCGAGAGGCGUAGUCGAUGGGAAAUUGGUUAAUAUUCCAAUACUUCAGUGUAAUGCGAUGAGAGGACGGAGAAGGUUAAGUCAGCCUGGCGUUGGUUGUCCAGGUGGAAGACAGUAGGCAUGCAUCUUAGGC